CUCCCAAAGCCGUGCCUCAAGCGCUUCAUCUCUUUCUCCACCCACGCACACCUACAUGCACACAAACAAGAGGAAAAGGAAACCUCUUUCUCCACCCACGCACACCUACAUGCACACAAACAAGAGGAAAAGGAAACCUACAGGAGAAACAUUCCCUGGUCUAAAUUGUUUAGUUCUUCACCGUUUCCAAAUUUCAGCUCCAUGGACGCCGGUGCUCUAUCCCGAUGAUUUAGGCGAUCCAUGUUCGAGUCCUUGCGCCAAAAUAUUCUGCUCCAUGCCGCAGCUCCAUUCAGAGAAGAAACAACGUGUUCCGUCGAGCAUACGCGGAGAAUUUUGCAAGUACUUAUACACUGUUCGUCAAGUUCAUCGCACCGUUCCGUCGAACUCGGGAGUGACGAUAUCGAUGUUGGACAUGGAUAGAACAGGUUACUGAAGAAGGACUCAACAACGAAGGCAUGCCUCCUUCUUUGAUCAUACUUAUCCUAUGUUUACAAAAUUGCAUUGUGUUUUAUGGUUAUUAUAUGCAUGCUAUUUUAAUUCUCGUAGCUAGCGUGUCGAUUGACACAUUACCUUGAUCCACUUGUUGCCUAUUCAUUUGACACCUGAGUAGAAUUAUAGUAUUCUUGUAGAGUAGAAAUGCUUAGCCAUGCUUAUUACCCUAUAGGUGCUUUGUUGAAUGACAUCUGAGUCAUUGACAAUUGAAACUUACCGCUGAGCUAGGCCAGAUGGCCUUAUUGAUAUCCUCUACUCUCUUCUACUCUGGGUGAAACUUACCAUCUGUAUACUGGCGCGGGCGAUAGCUGAAUCAAGGAUUG
Triticum dicoccoides is the source of this 815-nucleotide long non-coding RNA. RefSeq lists it as uncharacterized. The record is from RefSeq and is a predicted model, not a curated record. The transcript has 3 exons. Lineage: Eukaryota; Viridiplantae; Streptophyta; Magnoliopsida; Poales; Poaceae.